AAAAAUAAAGAAGAAGUGUCGAGAAGCCUCUGUUUCAAGUAGAAUUUUACAAUGUCGUUUAUUUGUAUUAAGCGAUGUCGUUAUUAAACUCAGUUGUAUUUAAAUGGAUCCCAAACUUUAGAGUUUCCUUAUCUUAUGAAAAUCAUAUUAUUCUCCUACUCUAACUUUCUUCCGUCUCUUACCUUAUUCUCUUCUCAUCGAAUUCCAUUUCUGUUCUAAUUUAGGCUUCGAGCUUAACAUCUCACCUUUCCUCCUCCUCCUCCUCCUCAUCCUCAUCCUCCUCCUCAUCCUCAUCCUCCUCCUCCACCACCGCUACUUCCACCGCUUCCUCCGGUGAGCCCAUAGAUUUUGUAAUUUAGAAUUUUUUCUUUUUUUUUCUAAACCAUUAUUUUUGUUUAAGUAAAAUUAAGGUGUACUAGAGCCAAUUUUGAGAUAAGAUGUGUGUUUUUUAAUAUAUAGUUUGCUAAUAAAUAUUUAAUAAACUUUCUUUU
This 491-nucleotide small RNA is filed under the name Arabidopsis thaliana (thale cress). RNAcentral describes it as "ATSL273600". Lineage: Eukaryota; Viridiplantae; Streptophyta; Magnoliopsida; Brassicales; Brassicaceae. The record is from RNAcentral.